AUGCAGCUUGGCCAGACGACGGUUGCAGCUCUGCCACUGGUGGUUGCAGCUCCCAUAGCAGUCGUAGCUUGCCCCGUCGAAUGCAACUCAACCCACCAUCGGUUGCAGCUCUGCCAACUAGGGGUUGUAGCUUCCCGUCGCCGUGGUUGCAACUCCACCAGGCCAGCUUCUACUCGCAUAUCGGUGGUCGCUGUCGCCGGCACCGGUGGUGGUCUCGCAGCACUUCGGUGGUCAGCUGAAGAAGGAGAAGGAGAUGGGAGAGAGGAUGCGAGAGAAAAAAUGGUGCCGCGUGUUGGGGAAAAGGAGUGGCUGAGAGCACCUCGUGUGAAAGAGAUAAGAUGGAUGGAGCAAAGAGCGGUGCAUGGGCCCUAUGCUACAGGAGCGAACAGAGGCGCUGGAUUUUUCUUCUAA
This 411-nucleotide ribosomal RNA is filed under the name Triticum aestivum (bread wheat). RNAcentral describes it as "partial small subunit ribosomal RNA". The record is from RNAcentral. Lineage: Eukaryota; Viridiplantae; Streptophyta; Magnoliopsida; Poales; Poaceae.